AGAACGAACGCUGGCGGCAUGCCUAAUACAUGCAAGUCGAACGAACUCUUCGGAGUUAGUGGCGCACGGGUGCGUAACGCGUGGGAAUCUGCCCCUUGGUUCGGAAUAACAGUUGGAAACGACUGCUAAUACCGGAUGAUGACGAAAGUCCAAAGAUUUAUCGCCAAGGGAUGAGCCCGCGUAGGAUUAGCUAGUUGGUGAGGUAAAGGCUCACCAAGGCAACGAUCCUUAGCUGGUCUGAGAGGAUGAUCAGCCACACUGGGACUGAGACACGGCCCAGACUCCUACGGGAGGCAGCAGUAGGGAAUAUUGGACAAUGGGCGAAAGCCUGAUCCAGCAAUGCCGCGUGAGUGAUGAAGCCUUAGGUGUAAAGCUCUUUACCGAGAUGAUAAUGACAGUAUCGGGAAGAAUAACGCCCCGGACUAAACUCCGUGCCCAAGCCAGCCGAC
RNAcentral lists this ribosomal RNA (449 nucleotides) under uncultured soil bacterium. Its description in RNAcentral is "bacterial SSU rRNA". It matches the Rfam family "Bacterial small subunit ribosomal RNA", at positions 26 to 518 of the family's 1533-position model. The record is from RNAcentral.